GGUUGAAUCGUAUAACGGUCAGUACACAAGAUUCUGAUUCAUUAGUUCUUGUAGCCUGGGUUCGACUCCCAGUUCGACCU
RNAcentral lists this transfer RNA (80 nucleotides) under Cutaneotrichosporon oleaginosum. RNAcentral's name for it is "Trichosporon oleaginosus tRNA". It matches the Rfam family "tRNA". From Rfam's summary of the family: Transfer RNA (tRNA) molecules are approximately 80 nucleotides in length. Their secondary structure includes four short double-helical elements and three loops (D, anti-codon, and T loops). The record is from Rfam by way of RNAcentral. Lineage: Eukaryota; Fungi; Basidiomycota; Tremellomycetes; Trichosporonales; Trichosporonaceae.